GUCUGAUCCCAAAGCUUGGGUCCUCAUUGUGCACAGCUGAAUGGGCUUUGAAACUAACCCAACAAUCCACUGUUGGUCAGAAGACAGGGCAGUUGGAGACACUGGACUUGGUGCAGCACUGGUGGCACACGGCACGUAGUCGGUCUGCACUGAGGAACAAAGCGCCUCUGAUGGCUUCCCUGACCCUCCACCGGUUCAUGCCCAUUCCUCCAUCAUCUUCAGGUGCCUUUCUCCUAGGAGUUCUUCCAGAAAGCACCACAGGAUCAUCCUUCAGUGAGGGCUUCAAUCUCCUGAUCCAUCAGAGGACGACCGUGGGGACUAAAUAAGAGAAUGGUCGUGUGCCGCAUGGUGACUGCAGUUAUCCACAUGGGACUGCAUACUUGAACGUGUUUAGGAGAAUAAAAAAAGUUCUCAUCAUAAGAAAAAGAAAAAAA
This 434-nucleotide long non-coding RNA is filed under the name Mustela putorius furo (domestic ferret). Its description in RNAcentral is "lncRNA (ENSMPUG00000027135.1)". The record is from RNAcentral. Lineage: Eukaryota; Metazoa; Chordata; Mammalia; Carnivora; Mustelidae.